UCCUGUUUCACUCCUUCAUGACAUGUCAACCUCUAUUCUUAACUUUGAAAGGACUCUAAAUGACCAUGCUCAGCUCUUUGGUUUCAUCUAGAUCAAAAGGACUUUAUUAGCUUGUAAUGUAAUGGUAUGAAUGGUUAGAAAAUACAAGGCUAUAUGGAAAUGAAGAAACUGUGAAGAAGAGGAGAACCUAAACUCAGUGCACUCUUUUUGAUAAUUCGGCCAGUCCAAUUUCUUUUCUUUCUCUCUGGUUUUCACAUACUGUCAGGUCUCAUUUUUCAUAAUUUUGCACUUUUGCUCUUUUUCCAGACCUGCUCUCUCUUUUUUUUUCUUUUUUUUCUUUUCUCUCAACACAACCAGAUUGCUCUUCUUAUUUUUCUUUUCUUUUUCUUGGCCUUUCUUUUUCUCUUUUUCUUUCACCAAGUUACUAAAUCCUCACUUCCUCUCACAGCUUCUACACGUUGGGUAAUGAUGGGGAAUAAGGCUUGUACUGAAUGGAACAAAGAAAAUGGCUAAGGCUCAAAAGAAAAGGUGCAAUGGUAAGAAAAACUAAUGGUAAAGCUAAAUGGUUAUGGAUGGUUAGAAACAAUGCCUAAAUCAUGUCUAGAGUCCACUAAGAGCAAGCUUUUCACAAAGAAUCAAUGCAAAAUCAGAAUGAAAAUCAAACAUGCAUGAAAUCACUCAAGAAAGACAAACAAAUAGGCCCAAAAUCUCUCCAGGUUAAUCAUUUUACUAAAACUGAGUUGCUACCUUCUUUUAUGCAAAAAUGCCUAAUUAAACUGAACUC
This 784-nucleotide long non-coding RNA is filed under the name Vigna radiata. RNAcentral's name for it is "long non-coding RNA (VRAD_LNC015583)". The record is from RNAcentral. Lineage: Eukaryota; Viridiplantae; Streptophyta; Magnoliopsida; Fabales; Fabaceae.